UGGAAAGUUCUUGCCUACCCUGUUG
Molecule: non-coding RNA, 25 nt
Filed under: Rattus norvegicus (Norway rat)
Lineage: Eukaryota; Metazoa; Chordata; Mammalia; Rodentia; Muridae
Source: RNAcentral